This 628-nucleotide ribosomal RNA is filed under the name uncultured bacterium. RNAcentral describes it as "bacterial SSU rRNA". The stretch from base 1 to 543 matches the Rfam family "Bacterial small subunit ribosomal RNA", at positions 338 to 873 of the family's 1533-position model. The record is from RNAcentral.
CCUACGGGAGGCAGCAGUGGGGAAUUUUGGACAAUGGGCGCAAGCCUGAUCCAGCAAUGCCGCGUGCAGGAUGAAGGCCUUCGGGUUGUAAACUGCUUUUGUACGGAGCGAAACGGUCUGCUUUAAUACAGUGGGCUAAUGACGGUACCGUAAGAAUAAGCACCGGCUAACUACGUGCCAGCAGCCGCGGUAAUACGUAGGGUGCGAGCGUUAAUCGGAAUUACUGGGCGUAAAGCGUGCGCAGGCGGUUAUAUAAGACAGAUGUGAAAUCCCCGGGCUCAACCUGGGACCUGCAUUUGUGACUGUAUAGCUAGAGUAUGGUAGAGGGGGAUGGAAUUCCGCGUGUAGCAGUGAAAUGCGUAGAUAUGCGGAGGAACACCGAUGGCGAAGGGCAAUCCCCUGGACCUGUACUGACGCUCAUGCACGAAAGCGUGGGGAGCAAACAGGAUUAGAUACCCUGGUAGUCCACGCCCUAAACGAUGUCAACUGGUUNUUGGGUCUUCACUGACUCAGUAACGAAGCUAACGCGUGAAGUUGACCGCCUGGGGAGGUACGGCCGCGAGUAGAACGUACGAAAGAAAGUUAGAGACGUGAGACGACGACGACGACGGACGGACGGAGGGAGNGG